RNAcentral lists this transfer RNA (64 nucleotides) under Pontastacus leptodactylus (narrow-clawed crayfish). RNAcentral's name for it is "Astacus leptodactylus (narrow-clawed crayfish) tRNA-Asn". The record is from RNAcentral. Lineage: Eukaryota; Metazoa; Arthropoda; Malacostraca; Decapoda; Astacidae.
UUAGUAGAAGCCAAACAGAGGCUUUCCACUGUUAAUGGAAGAACUGAAUUCUUUUCCUACUAAG